GGACGAACGCUGGCGGCGUGCCUAACACAUGCAAGUGGAGCGACGAACCAGGCUUCGGCCUGGGGCAGAGCCGCGAACGGGUGAGUAACACGUGGGUAACCUGCCCUGAUGAUUGGGACAACCCGAGGAAACUCGGGCUAAUACCAAAUGUGCCCUCCGACCAUAAGGUCGCUGGGGAAAGGAAGCUUCGGCCUCCGCAUCGGGAUGGGGCCCCGCGGCCCAUUAGCUUGUUGGUGAGGUAAGGCUCACCAAGGCAACGAUGGGUAGCUGGUCUGAGAGGACGAUCAGCCACACUGGGACUGAGACACGGCCCAGACUCCUACGGGAGGCAGCAGUGGGGAAUCUUGCGCAAUGCGCGAAAGCGUGACGCAGCAACG
RNAcentral lists this ribosomal RNA (377 nucleotides) under uncultured bacterium. Its description in RNAcentral is "bacterial SSU rRNA". It matches the Rfam family "Bacterial small subunit ribosomal RNA", at positions 27 to 396 of the family's 1533-position model. The record is from RNAcentral.